Molecule: ribosomal RNA, 301 nt
Filed under: uncultured bacterium
Lineage: Bacteria
Description: partial 16S ribosomal RNA
Rfam family: Bacterial small subunit ribosomal RNA
Source: RNAcentral
CAGUAGCCACGGUAAUACAGAGGGUGCGAGCGUUAAUCGGAUUUACUGGGCGUAAAGCGUGCGUAGGCGGCUUCUUAAGUCGGAUGUGAAAUCCCUGAGCUUAACUUAGGAAUUGCAUUCGAUACUGGGAAGCUAGAGUAUGGUAGAGGAUGGUAGAAUUCCAGGUGUAGCGGUGAAAUGCGUAGAGAUCUGGAGGAAUACCGAUGGCGAAGGCAGCCAUCUGGCCUAAUACUGACGCUGAGGUACGAAAGCAUGGGGAGCAAACAGGAUUAGAUACCCCUGUAGUCCCUGUCUCUUAUAC